RNAcentral lists this long non-coding RNA (4258 nucleotides) under Equus asinus (donkey). Its description in RNAcentral is "lncRNA (ENSEASG00005034591.1)". Lineage: Eukaryota; Metazoa; Chordata; Mammalia; Perissodactyla; Equidae. The record is from RNAcentral.
CAUGGGCGCUGCCACCCAACCCCGGGAGCCCAGCCAAGCGCUGUGUUUUUCCAGGUCCGCGCAGGGCCAGGGGAACCCUGCGUGUUUGUUUGGUGGGAAUGGAUUACUGGAAAGCUAGACGGAAGGUACCCUGUAAACCGGCAGCUCCCAACUCCAUCCCAUUGAUGGAUAUCAUCCAGUGCCACCAGAGGGGCUGUGAGUGCCUUGAUUUUUGUGCGAGGACAACAACUUCAGGAACAGGAACCAACAAAGGUCUCCCACUUUUGCAGAAGUCAUGCAUUGCGUUAGAGGCUGUUUCCUUUCUCUAGGCUCUGAACAUUUGCCCAGGCUGCAGAUGCUGGGAAUUUGCUCUAUGACCCCACCACACUUGUUCUGCUUAGGGUAUCAAAGCUCUUUGUGACCGAGGUUACCGUAAAGAUUUCCUGUGGAGGGAGAUGCCAGGGACAGAGCAUGCAUCUGGAAGGCUCACAGCGUGGACUCUGUGUGGUGACACUGAAGUUCCAUGUUCUUCAAGAAAUGUCUAGACUGGAUGACCUCAUUGGAGAUCUUCUGGCACAAAGCCCUUUUCACACAGCAAACUGAGACCCAGAGAGGGGAAGUGACUGUCCCAGGUCACUCAGCAAGCUGGUGGCCGAGCUGGAAUUAGAUCUCAGGUCUCCUGACAUCCAGUUCAAUCAUUAAUUACACACAGUUGUUGAGGACCUACUAUAUGCCAGGCACUCUGCUGGGCACUGGGAUACAGCUGUGAACAAAAUGAAGAGCCUGCAUACAGCUUAGAUGCUCUGGUGUUUAUGUGGGGAGAUGGUGGGUAAGCAAAUAAACAAAUGUAUCCCAUAAUGCCAUGUAGUUAGGAUCACUAGGAAGCUCUGUGCUCCUCGUCCUCUGUCUUUGGAAGGAAGGGGUUAGAGGCUUGGGAGAUGCUCCCUUACGUGUUCACUCAUUAAGUAAAUAUCAGUGAGGCCCCACUGUGUGUUGGGUGCUGUGGCGACACACACGCAUAAGAGCAGGAUCUGCUUUCAAAAGCGUGCCGCUCAAUGGGCAGACAGGGCACACCUCUUAGCAUCGUCUUUACAUGUACGGCUAUUGUUUUUAUGCUCCUUGUUUUCCUCUCCUGGUCUCUUCCUAAGAGAAGGCUUGUAGAAAACUCUGAUCCUGAUGUGGUGUAAAUCCCUUCCCCAAAAGGCUUCUGGAAUCCAAUCGCUGCUACUGACUUAUUGAGGGACAUCACCCAGUGACCUGGGGAGGCGGUGGGCAGCCCAGCCACAGCCUCUGAUAAGGAGAGACAACCCAGCAUCCGCCCUGCAGUGAAUAAUAGAACAAAAAGCUGCCGGCGCCAGCAGGAUCAAAGCGCAGGGGUGGUGGUGUCUCUGGGUUAAACACAUCAGCAGUGGGGGCUGGAGCAGGUGGUGGACGCAGCUGGGAGGGAAGUCUGGGGUGUGGAGGAACCUUCAGCGGGAGAAAGGAUUUCUGUGCCUUACAAGAAGGUCUCCUGUGGCUCUCUUCUGUACCUUCCCUGGAGACCGAGGACUCUUCCCUCCACCCUCCCUCUCCACCACCCCCACCCCCACAGCCUAAAGAGAUGGAACGGCUGAGGCAGGAGGCGAGGGGGAAAAGCAUACUGUACUAGGAGGCAGGAGACACUGGACCCCUGAGCUUAGGCGUCGCUGAAUUAUUUCCUAGGACACAGUCCCCUGUUCUGUAAAACGAGGAGGUUGAAAUAUGGUCUAGAACUUUCUUCCUGCUUUCAUAAACUGUAUUUUUCCGAAAAGAGGCAAAGAAGAUCUAUUACUUAGGGUCCCUGUCCAGUUACUUCUAGGCCAGGCAGAGAGAUCGCCAUAGCUGUCCUGGGCUCCUCCUCAAACUCAGUCUGUAAGCCCCCAUUUCUCCAGGGGGCGAGAGGGACCCAUAGGAGGGCAUGUGGAGGGACUGUAUUAUUUAUUCCCUCAUUCCACAUGCUCCCACUUGCCAUUGGAGAAACCAGAAGCUGCCUUAGAGUAAUUUUUUUUGGAUGAAUGAUUCCUGGGAUUUUUACCUUAAAAGAAUAUUUUAAGAUGUUAACGUUAGUAUUGGUGUCUUUAAAUAUAUACGCAGUUCUAGAGUGGAAGACCCGGGUGGUAUGUGAUGUUCUGGGGAUCUUUGCAGAUGUUUAUCUCAGUCAAGAAGAUGCCCAGGGUUCUUAACACACUUUGAGAACCACACCCUGACCGUUCCUUGUGACCGUGUGUGUGUGUGUGUGUGUGUGCAGGUGAGUGUCCAUGCAUGUGUGUGUGUGUCUGUGUGUGUGCCUGUGCCCUGAGUCAGCCUGAGUCCUGGGCCUUUUGUCUUUCCUCCUGAAUAAGCCAAAGGAGGAGGUCAGUGUAUAAUUAGAGGAAGAAAUGUGUCAGUCAGGAAAUAACCCAUUUUACUAGUGGAAAGUUAUUGAAAGCCCAUCCUUUUGUGUGUGAGCACCGGGGCCUUUAGGCAGAUGAGGAAUCUCAGAACAGAGUGGGAAGAUAAACCAGACCAAUAUUAAAGGCAAAAACUCCCAUGUUUGAUAUAAACCCAAGAUUCACGCAUGGAACCCAAUGCAGGUCCACCCAGACAGAGCACGUAGGGUGCACACACAUGCACAGCUCCACACGGGCACUGCACAGACAGACCUGUGGGAUGGCACCCCUGCACACGCAUGUACACUGAACAUCCUCACAGAUACAUUCAGUAUAGGGGAGGGACCCAGGGUUAUGGGUUGAACUGUGUCCCCCAAAAUAUGCUCAAGUCCUAACCCCUGGUACCAGUGAAUGUGACCUUAUUUGGAAGUUGGGUCUCUGCAGUGUAAACAGGUUUAGAUGCGGUCAUACUGGAGUGGAAUGGGCCCUGAUCCAAUGUGAUUGGUGUCCUUAUAUAAAGAGGAAAAUUUGGAUGUAGACAGAGGGAGGAUGGAGGCAGAGACUGGAGUGAUGCUGCCACAAGCCAAGGAAGGCCUUGGGCUCCCAGAAGCUGGAAGAAGCAAGAAGAGAUCCUUCUCUAGGGAUGGACGCUGGAGGGACCAUGGUCCUGCAAUGCCUUGAUUUGCACUUCUAGCUCCAGAACUGUGAGAGAAUAAAUCUCUGUUGUUUUAAGCCCCUCAGUCUGUGGUGCUGUGUCCCGGAAGAUGAAGACAACAGAUACAUAGACUAUGUGGUGCAUGUCUACACCCAGGAUGCACAGGACCUUUGGCACAGGCAGCAAGAGAUACUUAGGGCAUAUAGACUUCCCCUGCUCCUCUGCUCCCUCCCGGCAGCCUCAGCCUUCUUUCUUCUUGACCUCAUUCCCCACAGUGGCCUGAGAUCACCCCCACCGUCACCACAGCAGCCAACAUUUAUUGUGCACUUUUCUCUCUGCUGAGCACUAGUCUAAACGCUUAAGGUUAGUUAACCGAAUCUUCACAACAACUCUAGGUGUUGUCCCCAUUCACGGAUGAGGAAACUGAGGCACAGAGAAGUUGAAUAACUUGCCCAAGUAAGUGGGGGCAGAGAACUUGGAAUUUGGUGUAGAUCCUGCUUGUGUCUGCCACACCAGGGAAACGACUCUUUUCUCCGGAUUCUGUUAAGGACUGUGUUCCAAGUAAUACCUGGGGUGUCAGUCGCCUGCUUUAUGGGUCCUGGGCUGUGAUGUCCACAGCUAGACCUCUGACACUAAAGGUCUCCUCUCCACCUCCACCUCAGCCUGUCAGACCUGCGAUGAGCUGUUUGAAGCAGUAGGAGCGGGGGGGGGGGGGGGGGGGGGGAACAACAUGGGCUCAGAGCAUCCAUCCCCCUCCUCCUUGACUUCUUGUUUUGAUUGAGGAAUAUUUUCGUACCAUAAGAUGCACACAUUUUGAAGUGUACAGUUGGAUGAGAUUUAGGAAUAUAACCACCACUCCGAUUACAAAAGACCAUUUCUGUCACCACAGAAAGUUCCCUUGUGCCCCUUCAAAGUCGAUUGCCAUCUCCACCCCAGGCGACACUUGAUCCCAUUUCUACUACUGUAGAUUAACUUUGUGUGUUCUCUAACUUCACAUACUUGGAAAUACAUAAUACGUACUUUUUUACUUAUGUGGCUCCUUUUACUCAGCAUGAUGUUUUUGAGAUUGAGGCUUGUAGUUACAUAUGCCAAUAGUUAUUCUUUUCUUUGUUGCUGAGUAGUAUUCCAUUGAAUGGAUGUACUCCCAUUUAUUUAUCCAUCCACGUGUUGAUAGACAUUUAGGUCAUUUGCUGCCUUGGCUAUUACAAAUAAAGUUACUGUGAACAUCUGGAUAUAA